UACAGAGGUCUCAAGCGUUGUUCGGAUUCAUUGGGCGUAAAGGGUGUGUAGGUGGCGCCGUAAGUCGGGUGUGAAAUUUCGGAGCUUAACUCCGAAACUGCAUUCGAUACUGCGGUGCUUGAGGACUGGAGAGGAGACUGGAAUUCAUGGUGUAGCAGUGAAAUGCGUAGAGAUCAUGAGGAAGACCAGUGGCGAAGGCGGGUCUCUGGGCAGUUCCUGACACUGAGAUACGAAGGCCAGGGGAGCAAACGGG
RNAcentral lists this ribosomal RNA (253 nucleotides) under uncultured bacterium. RNAcentral's name for it is "partial 16S ribosomal RNA". It matches the Rfam family "Bacterial small subunit ribosomal RNA", at positions 524 to 776 of the family's 1533-position model. The record is from RNAcentral.